GACGAACGCUGGCGGCGUGCUUAACACAUGCAAGUGGAGCGACGAACCAGGGCUUGCCCUGGGGCAGAGCCGCGAACGGGUGAGUAACACGUGGGUAACGUGCCCCGAUGAUCGGGACAACCCGGGGAAACCCGGGCUAAUACCGAAUGUGCUCCCCUCACACCAGUGAGGGAUGGAAAGGAAGCUUCGGCCUCCGCGAUCGGGAUCGGCCCGCGGCCCGAUUAGCUUGUUGGUGAGGUAACGGCUCACCAAGGCUGCGAUGGGUAGCUGGUCUGAGAGGACGAUCAGCCACACUGGGACUGAGACACGGCCCAGACUCUACGGGAGGCAGCAGUGGGGAAUCUUGCGCAAAUGCGCGAAAGCGUGACGCAGCAACGCCGCGUGGGGGAA
This 390-nucleotide ribosomal RNA is filed under the name uncultured bacterium. RNAcentral's name for it is "bacterial SSU rRNA". It matches the Rfam family "Bacterial small subunit ribosomal RNA", at positions 28 to 409 of the family's 1533-position model. The record is from RNAcentral.